This is a long non-coding RNA of Sinocyclocheilus anshuiensis, 153 nucleotides long. RefSeq lists it as uncharacterized. Lineage: Eukaryota; Metazoa; Chordata; Actinopteri; Cypriniformes; Cyprinidae. The transcript is spliced from 3 exons. The record is from RefSeq and is a predicted model, not a curated record.
UAUUCGUCACCUCAGACUCUUGCUGACCAGUCAUCUAAAAUUAAAAAGGGCAGCAAAGGAGACACCAGUAUGCUCAGACCAACACUGAUGGCAGCCGUACCUGAGAUAAUGGACCGUAUCUAUAAGAAUGUGAUGACUAAAGUUGAAGAGAUG